RNAcentral lists this ribosomal RNA (206 nucleotides) under uncultured bacterium. RNAcentral's name for it is "partial 16S ribosomal RNA". It matches the Rfam family "Bacterial small subunit ribosomal RNA", at positions 568 to 774 of the family's 1533-position model. The record is from RNAcentral.
CGCGUAGGUGGCGAGAUAAGCGUGUGGUGAAAGCCCGGGGCUCAACCCCGUGUCUGCCAUGCGGACUGUUUUGCUCGAGCGUAGUAGAGGCAGGUGGAAUUCCGGGUGUAGCGGUGGAAUGCGUAGAGAUCCGGAAGAACACCGGUGGCGAAGGCGGCCUGCUGGGCUACUGCUGACACUGAGGCGCGACAGCGUGGGAGCAAACA